RNAcentral lists this long non-coding RNA (3334 nucleotides) under Sus scrofa (pig). RNAcentral's name for it is "lncRNA (ENSSSCG00050001592.1)". Lineage: Eukaryota; Metazoa; Chordata; Mammalia; Artiodactyla; Suidae. The record is from RNAcentral.
AUUUUUUAAAAACUGAAGUAUAAUUGACUUACAACACUAUGUUAGUUCCAGGUGUACACAUAGUGAUUCAAUAUUUCUGUACAUUACAAAAUCACUUCAGUAUUCAUAAAAUCACUGCAGUAUUUUGCUAUAUUUUAAUUGUUGGUCUGAGUGGUCACUCCAUGGGUAUUAGUUAUUAUAUAAUGUAGCUGAACCACAGUGACUCCACUUUGUCAGCUCCACCUUAGGCCUGCAUUCCUAACCCCUCUCCUUUCUAUGUGACUGAGUUUCGGCCUACUCACAAGGAAUGUACUCAAGCCAGAGAAGUUUCCUAUCAACUUUUACCCUGUCUUCCACCUAAUAUGAGAACUGCAAGAAUGUUUCGCUGACAUAGAUGGUUAAUGGUUUGCAAAGAAGGUCAUAAGACCUCUAGGGGGAGGAAAAUCCUCCAGUUCUCAUUGGUGCAGAUGUGCUUCUCCCUUAGUCAGAUUUAUUUUUAGCUUUGCCCCCUUUAAAUUCCCCUGUACAACGGGGAAUACAGUGCAAAUGCUUGCCCACAUGUAAGUUACCCACAAUAAACUCCAUAAUGGCACUUUGUGGAGUUGCCUGCUUCAUUUUUUUGGUAUCAAAGUUCUUUGUCAGUUUAGGAGAUAUUAUUCAAUAUCCUCGCCUUUGAAAAUCAUAGUAUUUUGCUUUAAACCAAUAUAUGCUACAUAACAUACAUAUGUUAAACAUAUAUAUAACUUUUAUAUAUAUGUAUAAUAAUGUAUUUUACAAAGAACAACAAAGCUAUGGAAUUGGACUCAAAGGGGAGAGAGAGAAAGAAAGUUUUGUUGUUGUUGUUGUGGUUGUCUUUUUAGGGCCAUACCCACAACAUAUGGAGGUUCCCAGGAUAGGGUUUGAAUCGGGGCUGCAGCUGCCAGCCUACACCACAGCCACAGCAACUUGGGAUCCGAGCCUUGUCUGUGACGUACACCACAACUCACAGCAACACUGGAUCCUUAAUCCAUUGAAUGAGGUCAGGGAUUGAACCUGCGUCCUCAUGGAUACUAGUCAGAUUCAUUUCUGCUGAGCCAUGACAGGAACUCCGAGAAAGAAAGUUUUUGAAUAAUAAACAGAUGGAGAAGAGAAAUUAUUCUGUGUCCUGUAUUAUAUUGGGGGCAGAUAACCUAGUGAUAUUGAUGAAACACGAAAUGAAGGAUGAAAGGAAUGAGCAGAAGAUGUAAGGAAGAAAAAUAUGAGUUAAAAAAAGUAAUAGUCUUUAGUAACCUGAUGGAGAUUAAAAAUGAAAUAUGUAAAGAAUUUUAAUAAACACGUAUAUAUAGUUUAUAAUUGAAAUAACUAUGGAAUCUGUCUUCAACUAAGAUAGAUUUUCCUUUGUUUCAGAUAAUAAAUAUUCAACCUUGCCUUCUUUCAAAGUUCCUUUUACUCAAAGCUUUAACAUUUAUUUAUUUUAUAUAUUUUAUAAACUAUAUUUAUAUGUCUAUAAAAGCCAACGACAAAUAUUCAUUUAUUUUCUUACUCACCCUAUGAUAGGUUUUCCAAAGAAUCCAGUUUCUACUCUGGCAUCUCCUCAUCUUCCACGCUCUACAGUUCAUGACACUGUUGGCAGGACCUCUUACCGUUCCCUCACCAGGGCUUUGCACUUAUCCCAAGGCCUGCCAUCCUCCAGAUCCCAUGGUUGCUCCCUCCCUCAUUCCACUUGGCUCAAAAGGUGGCCUGAGGACAGUCUUUUUGACAACAAUUUCUAAAACAGCUGCACCACACUCACACUCUUUCUUACCUUGCUUGAUUUUCUUUUAAACAUGAAGAAAGUGUUUAAUUGCUCUAUAAUCAAAUACAUGCAAAUAAAAAAUAUAAGGAGAUAAUAGUUUUCAGCUGUCAAAUUACCAAUGCUGGAAGAAAUUUUUCAUAUACUGAAAUAUGGAGAAGACAUUCUAGCUUAUACAUGAUUUGACAUUGAUGUUAUGCUAAUUUUAUUCUGUUUUAUAGUCUCUCAAACAUAUAUUGGGAGUUCCCAUUGUGGCAACCUGCAGCAUAAGUUGCAGCUCGGAUCUGGCAUUGAUGUGGCUGUGGCUGUGGCGGCAGCUACAGGUCUAUUAGACCCCUAGCCUGGGAACUUCCAUAUGCCACAGGAGCAGCCCUAGAAAAGGCAAAAAGACAAAAACAAACAAACAAACAAACAAGUAUGAAAAUAUAUAAGAAAUGAGAAAGCACAUUUAAUCCAAAAUUUGUUCCCAAAAUUGGUAUAACUCAGAUUCACCUAGGGAAUUUAUUAAAAUCAUUAAUGUCUUGAUUCUGCCCAGACAUACUGAACUGGAACCUUAAGUUAGCUCUGAAGCAGGAAUAUGGACAAUUGCAAUAAUGCAGUUCUCACUAUCUGCCAGCAUAUCAUUAUAUCUUUGUAUCUGUCACCGCUACGGAAUGUAAGCUUCAACUAGAACAUGUAAUUUGCUUUGCUGAGGGAGAAUGGGCAAUCUUGAAUCCUAGGAGGAGUCAGGGAGACAGGACUAAAGAAGGAAGGACAAAAGGUAAUAUGUGAUUAUACAGAAUCAGCAAAGGGGGCUUAAAAUAUAUUUUUCAAAGGUAAUACUGGGCAGUGUACAAAGUAAGCCACUACCUCCACUGGGAAAUCUUCAGCUCGGUAUUGAUUUCUCACUAAUGAAUAGAGAAGAAGGGACUGAUAAAGGUAAGUGAGAAGAACUGCUGAGUCCUGCUUUAAGGAGGGUGGGGAAGGUGGGCCAUGAAGACUGGCAGUGGGUCAGCCACCAGGGUCAUGUGUACUCACCUUGAGAAGAAUAUUUUUCGUGGUAAAUUUCAUAGGCUUUUCUAUGGGCCUCAGUGAGGAUCUGGAGAUGUGACGCUCUUGAUUCCUGGUGGGGAAGUUCUGUUAUCACCUCCUCCAAGUCACUAAAAGUGAACCAGAUCUUAACUAGGUCCCCAAAAGAGUGGAAGACGAAGGAGGCAUAGUCAGCAAAGAGAUCAGCAAAGGCCUCACUUCUCUGGACGGUGCUGGCAGGGAGGGUCUGGUGGUGCAGGACCACCAGGGGCUGAAGUUGAGCAGUCUCAAGGGCCUCAAGGAGUUGCCGGUAGCACUGCACCAUUCUCUUGUCUGGGUUCUUGGAGCUUCCUUCUGGGAGAAGUUGUGCCCAAGGUAGAAAUACCUUAUAGUGGGUGAUCAUACUGGCACGAACACUGCUAAAAUACUCUGGCAAGAAAGCAGGCAGUGGCUGGCGACACACAUAAAUACCUUUGUCUCCUGCUCCAAAGUGAGAAUCCUGGUGUCCCAGUGGACCCCUCAGGUCGUAUAGCAAGUCAGUGGUUAGAGGACCAGCAGCUAAAAUGAAGUUUCUAU